UCCGUCGUGAGACGGAAUCUGAAGGAAGCCGGAGGCAAAACCUCGGUCUGACGAACAGAAAUCACAUACAAGGCAUGGUGGGACGGACGAGCUUGCAUAUCAAAGCGAAGUCCAAUACUGCCCGAGUCACAUCAUGUAAAUGUGGCAGAUAGAUGAGGGGAAAGUUAUCGCU
Non-coding RNA from Paenibacillus yonginensis, 172 nucleotides. NCBI's taxonomy places the organism in Bacteria, Bacillati, Bacillota, Bacilli, Caryophanales, Paenibacillaceae. The record is from Rfam.